RNAcentral lists this ribosomal RNA (375 nucleotides) under uncultured organism. Its description in RNAcentral is "partial 16S ribosomal RNA". It matches the Rfam family "Bacterial small subunit ribosomal RNA", at positions 527 to 896 of the family's 1533-position model. The record is from RNAcentral.
GAACCGUCCAAACGUUUAUUCGGAAUCACUGGGCUUAAAGGGUGCGUAGGCGGCCUGGCAAGUUGGGUGUGAAAUCCCUCGGCUUAACCGAGGAAUUGCGCCCAAAACUGCCAGACUAGAGGGAGACAGAGGUGAGCGGAACUUAGGGUGGAGCGGUGAAAUGCGUUGAUAUCCUAAGGAACACCAGUUGCGAAGGCGGCUCACUGGGUCUCUUCUGACGCUCAGGCACGAAAGCCAGGGGAGCGAACGGGAUUAGAUACCCCGGGUAGUCCUGGCUGUAAACGAUGAGCACUGGGUCGGAGGAUCCCUCCCAUAGUUUUCCGGCCGUAGCGAAAGUGUUAAGUGCUCCGCCUGGGGAGUAUGGUCGCAAGGCUG